Molecule: ribosomal RNA, 520 nt
Filed under: uncultured Glomeromycotina
Lineage: Eukaryota; Fungi; Glomeromycota
Description: SSU rRNA
Rfam family: Eukaryotic small subunit ribosomal RNA
Source: RNAcentral
AGCAGCCGCGGUAAUUCCAGCUCCAAUAGCGUAUAUUAAAGUUGUUGCAGUUAAAAAGCUCGUAGUUGAAUUUCGGGGUUAGUAGAUUGGUCAUGCCUCUGGUAUGCACUGGUCUUACUGAUUCCUCCUUCCUGAUGAACCGUAAUGCCAUUAAUUUGGUGUUGCGGGGAAACUGGACUGUUACUUUGAAAAAUUAGAGUGUUUAAAGCAGGCUAACGCUUGAAUACAUUAGCAUGGAAUAAUGAAAUAGGACGUUCGAUCUUAUUUUGUUGGUUUCUAGGAUUGACGUAAUGAUUAAUAGGGAUAGUUGGGGGCAUUAGUAUUCAAUUGUCAGAGGUGAAAUUCUUGGAUUUAUUGAAGACUAACUACUGCGAAAGCAUUUGCCAAGGAUGUUUUCAUUAAUCAAGACGAAAGUUAGGGGAUCGAAGACGAUCAGAUACCGUCGUAGUCUUAACCAUAAACUAUGCCGACUAGGGAUCGGAUGAUGUUAAUUUUUAAUGUACUCAUUCGGCGCCUUAGG